Molecule: long non-coding RNA, 595 nt
Organism: Engraulis encrasicolus (European anchovy)
Lineage: Eukaryota; Metazoa; Chordata; Actinopteri; Clupeiformes; Engraulidae
Exons: 2
Source: RefSeq, a predicted model, not a curated record
AGUCAGAUUGCGAAUACCAGCGGUCCUGCUUGGUGGAACCAUGGACAUUAAAGGCUUUAAGGAACGAUGGAUCACUUGAACUUCUCCCCCACUGUGGCUGGUCCAGAUACAUCCCUGAACGAAAGCAGUACUCCCAUGGGCCUGAUUGCGACGACUUGACCAUGGCUACAACAACAGCUUGUGCAUCAUGGACGUCCAUGAAUGUUCUGGAUGCCAUGGAUGUCAAAUCGCCAUUUUUGUGUCCCAGUCUGCCUCUCCUUUAAUUUUUCAGACUGCACAGUGAUUGUGGUAAUGAAGGCCAUAUUCUAUCUUACCUUGUCCCACCACCCAUUUCUCAUUAGCCACCUGGCUUAGCAAGAGGAUAAUCCUGUCAGCAACAGUGGCCAAUAGGCAUCAGGGAACACCAGAUGAGCUUAGCCCUUUGAGUUGAUGGAACAAUAUUCUGCUGUGAAAAAGAUCAUUUUGGUGUCAUUUUAUUUUCAGCAUUUUUACCUUUUAAGCUUUUAUGUUACAAGGUAAAAUCAAAAGUAAUGUGUGCAUUGUUUUCAGUGUGGACUUUUAAUUCAAAAGCAAAAAAUAUAAGGUUAAUUUUUUA